RNAcentral lists this microRNA precursor (103 nucleotides) under Marmota monax (woodchuck). Lineage: Eukaryota; Metazoa; Chordata; Mammalia; Rodentia; Sciuridae. The record is from RNAcentral.
AGAGGGAUAGCUGGGUCAAAUGGUGGUUCCAUUCCCAGAUUUCCAAGGAAUCUCCAUACUGCUUUUCAUAUUGGCUGCACCAAUUUGCAGUUCCACCAGCAAU